Pseudophryne corroboree (corroboree frog) is the source of this 393-nucleotide long non-coding RNA. RefSeq lists it as uncharacterized. The record is from RefSeq and is a predicted model, not a curated record. NCBI's taxonomy places the organism in Eukaryota, Metazoa, Chordata, Amphibia, Anura, Myobatrachidae. The transcript has 3 exons.
ACGGGUGACGGGACAAGAGCCAGGCUGCUGCAGAUCAAUCCUUCCUGCACUGCCAGCCAGAUCAGUGGAAAAAUGCAUACAGUGCCUGCGGAGGACCAGUACAGCCAAUGGAGUCAGGAAACAAUACGAAGGUAUCACGUGAUGCAGAAACUGCUUGGAGAGAAUGACAGCGCCGGGAGGCUGAGGAGGAUUUUAACAUGCUUCAGAGCGACUCUUGGCGAAAAGUUCUUGCAACAUCAUGAGAUGCAGAAGAAGAUCCUUCACUGACAGUUGCAGAACCACCACUUAAAGGCCAAGACCUUUCCUUGCCACUUUCAUGUUUCUCUACAGUUAACUUUCUUUUUGAUGUUUUUUUCCUUACCACUGUAAAAUAAAAUUGCUUCUUUGAUUUUA